Molecule: long non-coding RNA, 22789 nt
Filed under: Medicago truncatula (barrel medic)
Lineage: Eukaryota; Viridiplantae; Streptophyta; Magnoliopsida; Fabales; Fabaceae
Description: long non-coding RNA (MTRU_LNC002906)
Source: RNAcentral
GAACAUUUAAUAAUGUGUUUGUGUAUCCUUUUCUACAUGCUCUCUGCAUCUUUAUGUUGAAAAUUUGUCUACUAUGACGUUUUCCCUAAGAUCUUAGCUAAGUCUUUUAUUAGGUGGAUGAUAAAUCAUAUAGGUUGAUCUGGGUGUUUAAGUUAUGUGGCCCUUGAGGUAGGGCAGUGCCUUAAACCGUUUCUAACCAAAUUUAAGCCGCGCCUAACUGAAUCCUUCGUGUCCAUUUAUACAUGUGAAACCAUUUACAUGGCCAACCAAAUGGCAUGGGCAAUAAAGCCGAAGCUUUAGGCCAAUAAAACCAAAGCUUUAGGCCUCCUCUUCUGCAAGGCUUCAAUUUUUAUUUCAUGUUAGUAUGUUAUACAUGUAGAGGUUGCCAAGGUUUAUAAGUGGGUUUUUUCUUCUUCAUAAAAAAGACCCUUCAUCUCCUCUUCUACUAAGGCCUCAAUUAUAUUUGAAUGAUGUAUUUAUAAGGUGGUCCAAGUAACCCUUCAUCUCCUCCUUCAUAUGACUUAAUCAACUGAAAAUAUGCCUGCCAUCUUUUUUUAGGGUUUACUUUCAUAAGGUGUGGGUGCCAUCUCUAUUUCUUUUUGCCUGACUGGUCCCAUCCCUCUAUUUCUUUUUGCCCUUGCCUCUCAUUCGCCAUUUCAGAUAUUCCUGUUGGUGGUGCCAUUAUAAUCGCAACCGCCAUACCCUGCCAUGAAUACCACAUAUACAGUAGCUUACCUAAUACCCAAAUACUGUGCUGCAUGUUGCCACCAAUACUGCUGUUUUAGUCAGCCUUGCUUUUGAAGGUCCCAUGCAUCUAUAGAAUAGCAAUGAUGGGGGAGGUUUUUAAGGGGGCAGCUGGAUGAUGCAAUUGCCAUUAUUGCACAUUAAAAAAUUACAAUUUUUUUACAUUAAAAAAUUACGAUUUUUUUUUUUUUUUUUUUGUAAUUGCUUAAAUUUGUAUCUGUUACUAGGACCAGUGAACAACUUGGGGUUGGAGAUGUUAUCGAGCAUGUUUGGUGGACUUGGAGCUGGUAGCCUAGCUGUUCCAAACAGAUCAAAUGGUUAGUUAGGAUUGCUAUUGUUUUUGUAAUUUUCUACCUGCAUUACUAUUCUAAAUAAUUUUUAUACUGAUCUCUCCUCGAUGUCUUCCCAGAGCCUCCAGAGACAUUGUAUGCUACCCAGCUUACCCAGCUUCAAGAGAUGGGAUUCUUUGACACACAAGAGAACUUAAGGGCUCUUAUUGCUACAUCAGGGAAUGUUCAUGCAGCGGUUGAGCGACUUUUGGGAAACUCUGGACAGUAGCAGGUAAAAUUGGCUGAUUUCCUUUGGUGAAGGUUCUUCAGUGGAUUGAGUUUGAUCCAUUCAAACUCAGUUGCGUUCAACCGCCUUGUUUGGCAUUUAAAUAUAAUUUCCAAAUUAUAAUGGUUGAGACACAAAACUGACUGGUGAUAUAGGUUAUACGUUGGGCUGAAUCUGUGAUUAUCACUUAUCCUCUUUCAAGUUCUGAUGACAUGUUUACUUCAUGUACAUAUGUUAAUAAUUGUUUUAGACACCCGAGAUUAUAUUUUAAGACCGUUCAUGUAUUAAUAUAUUUUUUGGUUAUUCAUUUAUUAAUACUUCAAUAACUUCAUAGUUGCUGAUUUGGCAGGUGGGAAGGGACACAAGACUAGCAAUUUAAAAUCCCAAACGCUAAAAUGUGGUGUGAGAUAUUUUAUCAGUUUACUUUUGAUUUUCGUUAUCGGAAUUAUGUUCAAACAAAUCUGUUGAUUUUUUAACAUUUAGAGUCCAACAUUCCAAUUACUAAUCAUAGAUUGAACAACAAGAAAAUACAAGCCUUUUGUAUCAAAUACGUGUAUAUUUUUUUUACUUGCACAUUUGCAAGUAUUGGCCUCAAGAUACACUAAAAGAAGGGGUUCAUGUUCGACGAUGAAUUUUUUUUUUUUUUUUGAAGUAUUUGAAGAUGAACUUAGUUAUAAUAUUAUAAGGAUGCAUAUAAUUAUAAUUUUUAUAAGGCCGUUUUCUUUUAUUUUUUGGGUUGUCAUUUGAGUUGUUAACCUUGUUCCCAAUUUUUAUGUCAAGAUUAAACAAUAAAGAAAUGAAUCUAUUUUUGAUGUAUGAAAUUCUUUCAAAUUUAUUCUCUCUAAAGAGACUACAAUGUUUUGGAACCUAAAUAUUUGGUAACAUCGUUGGUACGAUAACAAACCCUUUUCCGUAGUAAAGGGAAAAUUUAUACAUAAGCUCCUCAAAGAUAUAUGCUUCUUGGCCAUUAAACUUCAAUGAAGGUUCUCAAUGCUGAUAUUUUUUAAAUGUUUUUCUCCUAUCGAACUUGAAGUUUAAAUUCCUUUCCGUCACGUUAGUGAUGAACUCCGCAACUCUCGUUGUAAGUUUAUACCAGAACAAUAUCUCGACGCCAAAAAAUGCAACAUCCUCUCAUAAAUACAACAUACUUAUUUUUUAUUUUUUUUUUGUAUGAAAAAAUUAUAACAUUUCAUUAAUUAUAGUAGUUUGGAUACAUGUAGUAACUCCAUAAAUAAUUGAAAAGUAGCUGAAGUUGUGACCAUCUUAGAGAGUUGAUGAGCAACUUCAUUAACUUGUUUUUGAAUAAACUCAACAUGCGAAUUUGCAAUAGUGAUCCUCUACGUUACAUUUAGACUGAUAUGAUAGCACCAAAGUCAAAUCCACUUUUAUACUGUUAAAAAUAUCCACUACCCUUUUGGAGUUUAAUUCAUAGUGACACAUUAUUUAAAUGAAGCUCUUUGAAUCAUUUUGAUGCGUAAAGAAAACAUAACACUACAACCUCAUCAACAUUAAGGAUUAGCGAGAUCUGUUUUGUCUUUGCGAAAACAAACCAACCUUGAUCUUCACAGGAAUGAAUCAUCCGAUUCUAAAAUUGAAUUACAAGGCUGUAUUACACAAUGGAUUGACUACUUGACGAUUAAACGAGCUGAUAUGUUAAUAUCAACAAGAAUGAAUUACAAGUAUAUGUAUCAAGAAGAUUUUAACAGCGAUUAUUAAGAAAUAGGCAUUUACGGGAUAAUCAUUUACUAAAUGUUUUAAAAAUUUGUAAAAACAAUUUAUAAUACCUUUAAAAGAUACAUUUAAAUUAUGCAAAAUCUAUCAUAUUACAUAUGUAGAAACCAUUGGAAUUGCAAUUAUUCCUUUCUAAAAAUGCUGGUUUUUGGAUUUCCAAACCGUUAUAUUUGAAUUUUCAAAUUCUAUUUUGAAAAAAAAUAUUCUUGUUGUUAGGUUGAGUCGACUAGGUCGCUCUCUAUUAUGACCAUUAAAAUAUGGUGUUACCACCAUUCUAACUUGUAACAUUUUCAAAUGUUAAUAUGAUAUUUCAACCAGACAAAUAUUGGCGGUGGUGGAUCGUAUUGUCUCCGUCUUGGUUGCAGACUUGAUGAGUUGCUAAUCUUUUUCAAAGCUUGAUGAAUCAACCCGCAUUUAUGUUUAAGUGAAAGAUAAACACCCUACUCAUUCUCCUUGGUGAUUUCGUAUAGGAAAGGCUUGCAGCUCUUGAAGAUAAACACGCUACUCUAUCAUAUGAAAAAUGCACAUGAAUGAAUUUACUCACUCUAAUUGGCUUGAAAUAGGAAAAGACUAAUAAAUAUUUUAACGUAAAGAUACAUUUAUAGGAUAUAUGUAAUCAAGCUACAGGUGGAGUGUAGUCUCCUGUAGAGUCGUUAGAGAUGGUAAAUAUUCCAACAUAAAUUUCCGUCCAAUAAUAGUAUAUAUAUGGUAACAUUAGGGCUUGGGGAAAAAGCAACUAAUUUGCUUGCUACUCAAGUAAAGUAUGGAAAAGCCAUUCACGCCCUCAAAUGAACAUACAACUCACUCUUAUUUGCGGCAAUCCCUAUCUUCCCAAUGGCUUCUAAUCAAAUCUCAAUGGCUUCUGAUCAACUCUUCCUCUCCUCCGAUCUCCUUAACCCCGUCUCCUUUUCUCUCCUUUGCCCUAUCGCCUUUUUCGCUUAUGGCUCUUUGAAGUCCACGCUCCCUCUUCUUCGCUCGGUAGCCUCUUUCCCAAAGUCCAUGCCCCCUCUCCGUCGCAUGGUCACCUCUUCCCCCGAGCCCAUGCCCCCUGAUCUUCUUCGAUCGGCCGACUCUUCCCCCAAGCCCCCUCUCAUUCGCCUCGUCGCCCCUUCCCUCAUAGGUUUAUCCGCUUACCGCUCUUUCAACUCCAUGCUAGCCUCUUCCGCUUACUACUGUUUCAACUCCAUGCCCACGUUUUCCGCUCACAACUGUUUCAAUUCCAGGCUUCCUCGGCUUCCUCCGGUCGUCUCUUCACCAAACUCUUCCCCCAAGUCUCCUCUCCUAGGUGUCGCCGCCUCUUCCCUCAUAGCCUCUUACACUUACCGCACUUUCAACUCCAUGCCAGACUUUUCCGCUUACAACGGUUUCAACUCCAUGCCUCCACCUCUCACUCGCCCCCUCACUUACCGCAUGCCUAACACUCCCAGUGGCCCCAAAAGUCUCAGUAAUUGUUACUUCUAAUUUAUUAACACUUAAUAAUAUCUUAAAUUUCUGUUCAUGUUGAUUUGAUUCUCUCAUACUUAAACAUUUUCCUUGCUUUAUUUUUUUUAGGUCGUAAAGUGAAAAUGGAUCGAUUGAAGGAAAAGGUCAAAACAAUGGAUUAUGAAGAUAUAUUUUCUAUCAUUUUUUUGGGGUAUAUGGGCGUCAUCUUUCAUAUCUGGUAUAUAUCAUGACUUCCUAUUAUGAAGGAAACUGAUCUGAUUCAUGUUGAAGUUAAAUAGAAGAGUAUGGUCUUUUUUUUCUUCAUUAUUUUUCUUUAUUGAGUCAUGUUUCCUAGAACAACCACACUUGCAAGAGAGACGCCACACUCUUACUCAAAUGCUUAAGGCAAUGGGUUUAUGAACACACCCCCUCAAGUGUGAGUCCAUCUAUUCAUCAUGCUCCCCCUUCAAGGGGAAGCUCUUACUUUGCCUGUAUCACCGUUCAAGCGGAAGCUCUUACUUUGCAUGUAUCACCGUUCCUGCACAAGGAGCCACUUGCUGCUUGUAGCGCCGUUGCAGCUUUCUGCGCAACGACCGGCUGCCUCGGUCGUACCCUUUGUCGAACGGGGCUCUGAUACCGCACUUGGGUCACGAGGGGAGCUAGGGGGACCGUCCACAUUGAGGCUAGACCAGCACAUAAACAAGAGAGACACCACACUCUUACCCAAAAUCUUAAGGCAAUGGGUUUAUGGGUCCUCUUACUUAUAAGGUGUUCAACCUUUACUAUUCUAUCUGAUGUGAGACAUAUAACUCACAUUUGCAAACCAACACAUGGAAGUUAGAUUUUUUUUCCCAAUAAUGUCAUGUUUAUUUUCUUUGCUAUUGAAAAGUGAAGAUGUUGGUCAUAAUCAAUUGAUGUUUCAUAAAUUUUGAUUCACAUACUUGUUUUCUAGAUGUUUCCUUUUGUUCCUUAGUUUCCUUUUUACUUUUAGCAUUGCAUGACUUGACAAGUUGAAAUUAUUAUUGAGUUUUUGACUAAAAAAUAGGAUUUUAUUGAUUUAUAACAUUAAUUAGUGCAAAUAUAUUGCUUCUAAUGAAUUAAAUAUAUUGCUUCUAGAUCUGUUUUAUUCUCAUGUGCUAUAUUGUUUCAACACCAUUUUUGGCUGGUUUAAUUGGAGGACUAGCAUUUUGUAUUGGUUUUAGUGGCAUACUGGAUUGCUGCUAGCUUUUAUGUUAUGACAAAUUCUAUGGUACACUCAACAUUUUGAGUGUACCGGUAUACCAAACAUUAAAUUAAUAAUUAAAUUGAUUGUUUUUUGAAGAAAAAAUAAUUAUUUUCUAUCAUUGACAAUUAUAAUAAUUAAAUCUUAUUUAUCAAAAGCUAGCUUUUAUGUUAUGGCAAAUUCUAUGGUACACUCGACAUUUUGAGUGUACCGGUAUACCAAACAUUAAAUUAAUAAUUAAAUUGAUUGUUUUUUGAAGAAAAAAUAAUUAUUUUCUAUCAUUGACAAUUAUAAUAAUUAAAUCUUAUUUAUCAAAAGCGUCGAUGAAAUAAAAUUUACUUUUUUUGAAUUUUUAUUGCUCAUAAUGAAGAAUAUUAAUUAUUUUUUACGAGAAAAUAUAAAAAUUUAAUAUAAUUCAUAUAAACGAUGAAAUGAUGUUUUUUUUUUUUUUAUUUUUUUUUUUAUAAGAUGGUGUUUUCUAAAAUAUAAUUAAUGACAAAUAACAACUUAUUUCAUAAAAUGAUCCUUAAUUUAUAAAUUUAUGAAGCAGAGUAUCGGUACACCUCAAUUUAUGAGGUGUACCGUAGAAGCUCCCUUAUGUUAUGCAUUGUUCGUACGCGUAUUAAACAGAUGAUCAUACAUAUAAAAUAAAGAAUUGCGACAUGUUGAUUUAUUAUGAAUUGUGAAUUACUAAAGAUACUGGUGAAAAUGCACCAUUUCAUUUCAUAUAUUGUACUAUAGUAGAAAACAAGAAUAAAAAGGAGAAAGCCAAAAAGUAAAGAAACCAAGGACAAUUAUUGUCUUGCCUCGGAAAAUGACGAGAAAGUCAAAAGCAUAAGAAACAAAAGCGAAAUAAAAAAAAAGCAGGAAACUAAUCAAAGAAUCUUGACUCCUUCUUUAUUCAGUUCCUCCUCUCCCUUCAUAAUCAUGCGUUUGUUGAAAAUAUGGUUCUUGCGAAGAAACCAAAGUGGAAUUUACAUCCCUCAGAAGAACAUGACACCGUUAGUGUUAUGACCACGGCUAUAACAACAAAAGUCAGAAUGGAGAGAAUCGCUAUAACGAUCGACUUAAUAUUGCUUGUUAGCCAUGCCCACUUUUCCAUAGAACUACUGCACUCAAAGCACAUUUUAUAUUUUAGAUAAUAUAUAAACUGUUCCCCAAAUUAAUACAGUAAUUUAUUAGAAAAAUGAAGGAAAAAUAAAAUUAAUCUUAUUCAAAAGAUAUCUAUUUCAUGCAAAACAUCUUAUUGUUUGUCAUAACACACACUUAGACUAACCUCUUGGAAGUUGUUUUAGGGCAGAAUGUGAUGAGGUAAUUUGUUGAGUCACAUAUACCCUGGAACAUUUUUGAGGCAUCGACGUUGGCAAGAGGGCAAGCACCACUAAAGAAUUUGCAAAAUUUAUGAUCGUCAGACUACGAACACGCAUUUUUACAUGCUACACAGUCACUCCCUCUCAUCAAUUUUGCUUCGCUUGGACAUAGUGAGUUCAAGUCCACGUCGCAGCCAACCAUCGUGCAUUCUCCGAUACCAUUUCCAGAUUUAGGCUCAAUCAUUAUUGGAAUGUUGUAACCUUCCAAGAAACUGACUUUGAAGAAAUCUUGUCCGCUUGACGCAUUUAAGGUGAAUUCUGCUAGUGUAGCAGGUGGUGUGGCGCUUCCAUCAUCACAUUCCACGGUGGAGGAAGAGCAGUCACCCGUGACACAUGCAAACUUGCCGUUGAUAUCAUUAGCGCAGAGUGUCCGUGCCCACAAGUGGCCUGACCACGAAGGUGGGAUCGCGAUAAUUAUGGUACUCAACUCCCCGGGUGCAAGGGCAAAACCCGUUGUUGAGAGCAUUGGGGUGAUUGGCCGAGGUGAAAUAGCGGGCCAGACUGUGUGGUUGCACUUGUUCACGACUGUAAAUGUUGUUGGAUAAGCGCCUACAAAUAAAAGAAUCAAUGACAUUCAUAGAAGACAUAAAAUAGGAAGAAUUCUUGACUUGAAUAACAAAAUAAAAAUUGGGUGAUGAGAAUGCGUAUGACAUACCUGCGAUGCCGAGGAAGAGAUAGAGAAUGACAAAGUUGGUUGCAAAUUGAGUUGUCGCUAACAUCGUUACGUGACUUUUUGGAAGAAAGUAAAAAGUUGGGUUCUCUUAAUGUUUUGAGACCCUUACAAUGUAUAAAUAUACUUUUUUAUCCGGAAUUUACGGGUACUCAAACAUGGAUUCAGAUUAGCUUAAUUAAUUGAAUGGGUAGUAGACUAAUUUAUUUACUUAUUUUCACUCAAAAGGAGAAUAUAAUGUUGAACAAAUUAUAUUCAAAAGGAAAAAUAUUGAAUAAAUAAGAUUUAAAUGAUUUUGCUAACACAAACAAGAUUCUUUUAAGUAUUACUUUUGUUAAUUACUACGUCAAUGUUUUGCAUACCCGUUUCUUUCUUACCAAAAGAAAAAAUGUUUAAGAAAUACGGUUGAAAUGAUUAUGCUAACAAGACGUAUUUAGGCUACAUAAGUAUGCAUAAACAAGAUUUUUAAGUAUUGCUCUCAAAAAAAAAAAAAGAUUUUUAAUUAUUAUUUAUUUUGUGUUAAUUACAACGUCAAAGUUUUGUAUACAGUAUAGUUUUAUAAAAAUUAAUCCCAACAUCAAUACAGUAUUGUUUUGUGUUCAAUUGUUUAUCAAAAAAAUUCUUUCAUUAAUACUGCCAAUUCUAUUUUUUAUAGAAUGGUAUUUAAAUCUUAUUAGAAACAAUUCUUUUGUAGUUGCAUUUGUCAAAGAUUACAUGGAAGUAGAUUGAAUGUACAAGUUCAUCAAAGCAAUGAUAAUUUAAUAAAAGUUAGUGGAACCUUUAUGUUGGAGUAUUAUUGGACAAAAACAGGUUGAACUAUCCUUCAUUUUUCUUUUUGUUGAUAUACGUAACAGCUUUGCGAACAUCAAAAUUGAAUCAAUAGAAAGAAAAUUCUUAAAAAAAUAAUAUCAACAUAAAAAAUAUAAAUAACAUUCGGACCAAUUAUAUUUCUAUUUGGAUAAUGAAUCAUUUGAUUAAUUGAUAUGGACCAAUUAAUUAUACACAUCUUAAUGAAUGAAUCAAUUUUUAGUUUUAUGUAUUCGGUUUAGGCAUAUUAUUUUCGGUUUACAUAUUAAAGUGACGAUUUUUUACUUUUAUUUUAGUUUAUGUUAUACUACUUAUCAACAUAAAACCUUUAUCAUAUCAUCAGUUAACAGAAUUAUUUAAUGUCAUAAACUAAAGUGAUAAUGGAAAUGCAUAUUUAAGGACUACUUUACAUUUAAUUAUGAUUAGAAACUUUUAUGAUAGCGAGGUGCAGAGUCUCAGACCAAAAUUAUCAUUUACUCAUUUUUGUUAUGUUUCUAGUCUUGUGUUCAGGAGAGAUCUUGGAUCAUUAGAUAAUUCAUGAACAUUGGCAAUUGGUUUUAGAUUAAUACUCCCUCCGUUUCAAAAUACAUGUCCAAGUCAACCACUUCACAUAUGCCAAUGCAUAAUUUUGACUGUUAAUAUCUUUAAUUUUCUGAAGUAAAAAAUUAUAAAAAUUUAAUAUUUUGAAAAUAUUUGUCGAGACAAAUCAAACAACAUCUUACAUGCUAAUAUUUGUAUUUAUAUAUUAGUUAAAAAGUAUGGUCAAAGUAAGUCAAAUGAAUAGUGCACAUUGCAAAAAUUAAACAUGUAUUUUAAAACGGAGGGAGUACUAUUCUACAUUUCUACUUCGUGUGUAGGUAAUGAUGCUAUUUGAGUUUGGGGUAAGUAAAUAGGUCUGAAGGAGGUCAUAUAUGUGUAUGAUGAAUGUGCGUGUCAUCGUGUAACUUAUGGUGAUAAUGUCUCGUGGGUCCUAUUGUCAACUUUAUGCCACAUUGGGAUUGGGAAAGAAAUGUAAUUGUACUUUCUAAUUCUCCAUAAGUAACAUACUAGGAGUAGCAGAAUUUCCUAACCAAAACUUCUGUUGGAUAAUUAAUAAUCAUUUAUGAUUUAAGAGUAUCCUAGAGUUGAUAUAAAUAUCUGAAUUUCAAUGAUAGAAAAUAAUUAAAAGAUUAAAUUUUGUCCUUGAAAUUGAAUAAGUCUCUAUUUUAAAGGAAAUCAAAUUAUAAGCAGUACAUAUUAUUCAUCACAAGUAUUACAUGUCUAGUCAAUAAUCAUACGAGGAUACUCAUCAAAUUAGUUAAUAGUUAUGUAAAUGUCCAUUAUAGUGGGAGGAUAUGUGGGGGCAUGACUCAUGAGUACAAUUUAGUUAGUUUUAGUUUCUGAAGUGCAGAUCCUAAAGUGCAGUUUCUGAAGUACAUCUUCUGAAGUACAGCUCACAAAGCCAUUAAAGCUAAGCAGCUUUGAUUACUUGAAGAAGAAGUUAGGAAUGGCUGAAGCAUCUAACUAAAUGAAUUAAGGAGGUGUAUUGGUUUAGUAAUUCAAUUUAGUUAGUUUUAGCUUCUGUGCAGCUUCUGAAGUACAGCUUCUGAAGUACAAUUUCUGAAGUCUUCAGAAGCAGAGUCUAGUAAUAAACUUUGGUUAGCGUGUUAAUCAAGAUAGUUAGUUUGUUAGAGGAGUUUGUUACAACGUCCAGUUAUAUAUAUACUCACUCAUGUGUUGUAAAUAGAUGACAAUUCAUUCAAUAAAAUUACACAAGUCUUUUACUCAUAUCUCUGUUCUCUCUCAAAACCAUAGAAACCCAGAAUCUCAAUUCCAUCUUCUUCAAUUGAACUCAGUUUUAAGUGCUGGUUUCAUUCUAAUUUCAUACAUUGUUCCAUCAAAUUGGUAUAACAGAGCCUGGUUCGUUCAUCGUUGUUAGAGAAUUCGUGAAGAAUGGCAACUUAUAACAACAAUAUUCUUGCGCAUCUACCAAUCUUUGAAGGAAAGAACUUUGAUUAAUGGAUCGUGAAGAUGAAGGUGAUCUUCAGGUUCCAGGAUGUACUUGAAGUUGUGAAUGAAGGGAUACCAGCACUGGCAGCAAAUGCAACUGAUGUACAACAAGCAACGCAUAAAGAAUUGAAGAAGAAAGAUGGAAAAGCUCUGUUCUUGAUGCAUCAGAGUGUAAGCAAUGAGAUCUUUGAGAAGAUCAUGCAUUAUGAAAGCGUGAAGGAGACAUGGGAUACAUUAGAGAAAUUGUAUUAUGGUGAUGGUAAGUUGAAGAAGGUGAGACUUCAACCUUUGAGAAGACAGUAUGAAGUGUUGACAAUGGAAGAAGAAGAAUCUGUUAGUCAAUACUUUGAUAAGGUGAUCAAUCUUACAAAUCAGAUGACAAGGAAUGGUGAAACUGUCACUGAUGUGAUGAAGGUGGAAAAGGUUCUCAAAACCUUAACAUCAAGAUUUGAUCACAUUGUAGUGGCCCUAGAGGAAUCUAAAGACUUAGAUUCUAUGAAGAUAGAGGAACUGCAGGAAAGUCUUGAAGCACAUGAAUUGAGGUUGAUUGAUAGGAAUAAAGAAAGAGGUAAAAGUGUAUCAUCUGAUCAAGCUUUGCAAGCUCAGUAUGAGAAGAGAGGAAAAUUCAAGAAAGGGAAGAAAUUCUGAAAUAAUCACUCUCAUAAGGACGAUGAAGGUUCUAGCAAGAAUCAAGAAAAGAAUGAUGCAAAGUCUGAUCAGAAGAAGAAGAAAGAUAAGAAAGACAUUCAAUGCUAUACUUGUCAGAAGAUGGGACAUUAUGCAUCUGAAUGUAAAUCAAAGAGAGUGCCAAGAAACAAAGAUGAGGCACAAUUUGCUCAGGAUGAAGAUUCUGAUUCUGAAGAAGUACUCUUGAUGGCAACAGUCAAAGAGGAAAAAGAAAGAAGUGAUGAAUGAUAUUUGGACAUUGGGUGUUCAAAUCACAUGACAUGCAAGAAAUCUUGGUUCUCUGAAUUAGAUGAUUCAGUUAAUAGAAAAAUAAGAUUUGCAGACAAUAUUAUAGUUUGUGCAGCUGGUAUUGGGAAAGUACUAAUUCAUAGGAAGGAUGUCAAGAAAGCUUGCAUCACUGAUGUGUUGUAUGUACCAAACAUGAGAAGCAAUCUCAUUAGUAUUGGUCAAUUACUACAAAAAGGAUACACUAUGAAGGGUGAGGCACAAGCGAUGAAGGUAUUUGAUAGCAAGAGUAGGUUGAUUCUGAAAGCUCCUAUGUAAAAGUAAAUAACUUUCAAAAUCAACAUCAGUGUUAUUGAAGAUAAAUGUAUGCUAUCAGAAGUUAAGAAUGAAAACUGGUUAUGACAUCAAAGAUAUGGGCAUAUCAAUUUCAGGGACUUGAAUAUGCUUAGUGAGAAGAAAAUGGUGCAAGGUUUACGAAAGAUAAAGCUGCCUAAUGAAGUAUGUCAUAUGUGUUGUAUUGGAAAGCAAGCCAGAAGUUCAUACAAUGCAAUAAUACCAUUCAAUGCAACCAGAAAACUUGAGGUAAUUCAUUCUGAUGUAUGUGGACCCUUUGAAGUGAAAUCAGUAGGAGUAAAUAGAUACUUUGUGACAUUCAUAGAUGAAUUUACUAGAAAGUUAUGGAUUUACUUGAUGGCUAAGAAAGAUGAAGUAUUUGGUGUGUUUAAGAAGUUUAGACUGCUAGUUCAAAAUGAAAGUGGUGAAAUGAUUAGCAGGCUAAGAACUGAUGGAGGAGGUGAGUAUACUUCCAAUGAGUUCAAUGACUUUUGCUCAUCAAAUGGCAUAAAUCAUGAAGUCACUGCACCAUACACACCUCAACACAAUGGAAUCUCAGAGAGGAAGAAUAGAACAUUGGUAAAUAUGAUAAGAAGCAUGCUGAAGCAAAAGCAGAUGCCUCAUUAUUUGUGGGGAGAAGUAGCUGCUACUGCAGCAUAUCUCAUCAAUAGAAGCCCUACAAAGAAGCUACAAGACAAAACACCAGAAGAAGCAUGGUGUGGAGUAAAACCAAAUGUUCAGCAUCUGAAGAUUUUUGGCUCAUUGUGUUUCAGACAUGUACCUGAUCAAAUUAGAAGAAAACUAGUUGGUGAUACAGAUGAAGGAGGUGCAGGUGUUGUUAAUAUGCCAACAAGGAAUACUCAACCACCAGUCAGAUUGAGAGAUUUCCUGAUCAAGCAGUCACAAAUGAAGGUGAUAUUGUGCAAUCAGCUAUGCUUGCUGAAGCUAAACCAAUAUCUUUUGAGGAAGCUCUUAAAAAAAAAAUCACUGGAAGAAAGCAAUGAUUGAAGAACUAGACUCUAUAGAGAAGAAUGAAACUUGGAGAUUAGUUCAACUACCUACUGAUAAGAAGUGUAUUGAUGUUAAGUGGGUUUUCAAGACAAAACUGAAGCCAGAUGGUCAGGUUGCAAAAUACAAGGCCAGGCUAGUUGCAAGAGGAUUCUUACAGAAGUAUGGUCAAGAUUAUUAUGAAGUAUAUGCUCCAGUGGCAAGGAUGGAAACAAUCAGAUUGAUUAUUGCUAUAGCAGUCAAGAACAACUGGUCAAUGUACCAGUUAGAUGUGAAAUCAACAUUUCUCAAUGGUGAGCUUGAAGAAGAAGUAUAUGCGAAUCAACCACCAUGAUUUGAGAUAAAGGAAAAGGAGGAGUAUGUAUAUAAGCUUGACAAAGCUCUGUAUGGUUUAAAGCAAGCUACAAGAGCUUGGAAUAAGAAAAUAGAUAAUUUUCUUGUUCAACAAGGUUUCAUGAAGUGUGUAACUGAACAUGGAAUUUACUGCAAAAACACCACUAGUAAGCUUAUUGUAUGCUUAUAUGUGGAUGACAUUAUUGUCUUUGGUAAAUGAUGAGAAAGAAGUGGAUCAAACUCUAUUCAAGCAAAUUGUGGGUUCAUUGAGGUAUUUGUGCCAUACAAGACCUGAUAUUGCAUAUGGUGUAGGUUUGAUCAGCAGGUACAUGGUGAAACCUACCACCUCACACCUAGUUGCAGCAAAGAGGAUUCUGAGAUAUGUGAAGGGUACUAGCAAUUAUGGUAUCCAUUACUCUAAGAAUCAGAGUGGUGAACUAGUAGGGUACUCAGACUCUGAUUGGAGUGGAGAUAAAGAUGGUAGGAAAAACACUGCUGCUUAUGUGUUCAUGAUUGGAAAUGCAGCCUUUUCAUGGAGUUCUAAGAAGGAAUCAGUAGUUGCAUUAUCUUCUUGUGAAGCAGAGUACAUUGCAGCUUCCAUGACAGCAUGUCAAGCUCAAUGGUUCAACAUGUUACUGAUGGAAUUACAAUUGAUGAAGGAUGAGAAGAUGGAACUCAGAAUUGAUAGCAAAUCUGCUAUAGACUUGGCAAAACAUCCAGUAGCACAUGGUAGGAGCAAGCAUAUUGAAACCAAAUUCCAUUUUCUAAGAGACCAGGUGAACAAUAGAAAGUUGGAAGUAAAGCACUGCAAAACAGAUGAGCAGAUACCAGACCUGCUCACAAAGCCAUUAAAGCUAAGCAACUUUGAUUACUUGAAGAAGAAGUUAGGAAUGGUUGAAGCAUCUAACUAAAUGAAUUAAGGAGGUGUAUUGGUUUAGUAAUUCAAUUUAGUUAGUUUUAGCUUCUGAAGUGCAGCUUCUGAAGUACAGUUUCUGAAGUACAACUUCUGAUGUCUUCAGAAGCAGAGUCUAGUAAUAAACCUUGGUUAGCGUGUUAACCAAGGUAGUUAGUUUGUUAAAGGAGUUUGUUACAACGUCCAGUUAUAUAUAUACCCACUCAUGUGUUGUAAAUAGAUGACAAUUCAUUCAAUAAAAUUACACAAGUCUUUUACUCAUAUCUCUGUUCUCUCUCAAAACCAUAAAAACCCAGAAUCUCAAUUCCAUCUUCUUCAAUUGAACUCAGUUUUAAGUGUUGGUUUCAUUCUAAUUUCAUACAUUGUUACAUCAAUGAGACUAUUUCAUGUGGUUACAAAACAUCAAAAUGACCAGUUAGUAAUUAAAAUAAUUAAAAAAUACUUCACAUACCGUCCCUGACUCCAUGAUACUAAUCUUUAACUAUACCGUCGAGAGGCCACACCCAGCGUGAUUCAUUCUAGGAAAGGGUCACAAAAGAUCACAUUAUUCAUGCACAUUCAAUUUAGGUAACAUACAAUUAAAUAAUAUUGCACAAAAGAUCACACAAUCACAUGACGAAUUUAAGGGGAAAAUACGAAUGCACCUAUGUUAAUGUUAAAAUAUAUAAGUUAGCCCUUGCAAGAUUCUCUGCCUAAUAACUAAUUAAAUCUAGUUGGACACUUUGACCAUUGUAGUCUUUAGCCGAACUUAAGGAUGCAUGAGUUUAAUUGCUAGUGAUUAUGGUUUGCAUGAUAUCUUAUAGUUAGAUUCUAAGGGUAGGAAUCUAUUUUUAUUCAUUCAUCACUUCAGUGUUGUACCCUAAAUCCUUUCCUUUAUUACUGAUGAUUACAACUAUGAGCUUAAAAAUUAAUCACAAUAAUUUCAAGUACUUAGUUUGAGUAAUCAAGUUGCAUGGAUAAAAAGGCAUCAAAAUAACUUCAUGCACAAAAAAUGCACGAUUUUUUCAAUUAUCACACUAUUAAAAGUAAAGAUUUUUUCAAUACUCAUUAUCAGAGCGUACGUAAAAAGAAUGUAAAUUUCAAAUUCUGCACAAAGAUUUUCAGCACAUGCGUAUAUAGGAUAGUAGGAGGUUCAAAACAUGUCAAAAAUAAUUCACAAAAUUUAACAUGCAAAUUCCUAACAUUUUUUUUUUAAAGAAUGCAAAUUCCUAACAUGUAUACAAACAAUAUAUAGGCUGUACCACAUGAAAAUAUUGUACCAAAUAUGUAUAGUAAUUUCGGACAUAAAGGUUGUUAAACUCAAAUUUUUACGUUAACUCGUUUUACCUAUGACGAAUCGACUCAUAAACUCGUGAGUUUAACUCAUAUUAAAAUUAUUAUAUACACGACAUAUAAAUUUACUUGAUACUAUAAGUGCAUCAAUAGUUAAAAUUCCAACUUAAUUAUAAAUAAAAAAUUAUACCAAAUCUUCAUAAUAAAAUGUCAUUUUCAUAAACUUGUACCAAACUACAUAAAUACCCCACCAAAUUAUAAAAACAUCUAACUAUUCAAAAAAGGGUUAAAUAUAUUUUUGGUCUCUAUAAAUAUGUCAACUUUUCGUUUUCGUCUCUCUAAUUUUAUUUUUUUCAACUUUUAAUCCUCCAAAAGUUAUUCAUCUUCAUUUUUGAUCACUCCUUUAAAGUAAACUCAUAUGUAGAAUUCAUGUUUUUGAAUAAAAUUGUGCAGAAAAGUUUAUCAUAUUAUAAGAAUCUCUCCCCAAAAAAAUUAGAAUUUUUACAAUAUUCUUUUUGGAGAGAUUUUUACAAUAUUUUACACAUUUAUGCACAAUUGCAUUAAAAAAAAUAAUACAAAAACCAACUUAAAAAUAGGGACCAAAAGUAGUUAUUGAAAAUUUUAUAGGGACUAAAACUUAAAGAAAAAUUUUAAAGAGACUAAAACAAAAAGAUGAUAUAUUUAUAGAGACCAAAAACAUAUUCAACCCUUCAAAAAACAAGAGUAUAAUAUAAGUCUCUAAAAUCAUUGUAAACCUAUUUCACCUGAGAGGAGAAUUUUGUCUCCAUUGUAGUUCAAUCUGACACGAGAGAUAACUAACCUCUAAAGCUUUGAUCAAAGGAUUUAACCAAAAAAAAUCAUUUAACCUCAACUGUAUGGGCCAGUUUACUUUUUGAAAACAUUUUCCAUUUUAAUUUCCUAAAACAAAUGAGUUUGUUUUUACUUUGUAGCAAGGACAAAAUAUGGUCUUGAAGUGAACAAUUGUCUUUCUUUUGCAAAAACAACAAAAGUGUCUAAAGAGGGAUUUUCAUUAUUUUCCAAAGUGUUUCAUCUGUAUCUAGAAUUUUAUCACAUUUCUUCUCAAAUAAAUGAACUUUAAUCGUGAUGAUUAGUUGAAUUAAUUGAAAAUAAAACUAAGUAUAUGUAUCUUUUUAUCUAAGUGGUAAGAGACUUGAGGCUUCUAAAAAAAUGGUCAAAUGUUUGAUACCGAACUCUUGUGUAUCGAGAAAAUCUUGUACAAAUGAAAAAAAAUCCACCUUUGUACUCCAAAAGUUUCUCAAAAGAGAUUAUCACUGCUAAGUUGCAGUAGAAAUUUUGUACCUAUAAAAUGGUAACCCAUUUUUUCUUAUUGCUAUGUUUUCUAGAUAUGAGUUAUGAUAAGUAUAUAAAUAAUCAAUAAAAAGUAUCAUUCGAUCAAUGAAAAAAUUCUUGAGGUUGGAGUUUUAUCACCUGCUGUAGUCCUAUCUAACUCGAGAGGAAUUUUAUCAUCUGUUAUGAUCCUAUUUAAUUUGAGAGAUAAUCAACUUCAUAGUUGUGUACAUAGGAUAAUCAAUUUUUCGACACCUUGCCAUAAAGAUUUUCGACACAACGAAACUUGUCGGUUGAACACCUUUCCAUAAAGACUUUAGACACAAGGGACCGGUCAAGCCUUUUGUUGAACCUCGACUCUGACCCCAUUGUUGGGUCAAGAGGGGAUCCCGUGGGACCACUAACAUUAGACAAAAGCAACCACACAAGUAAGAGAGACACUAUAUUUUUACCUAAAAUUUUAAGGCAUUAGGUUUAUGGCUCCUCUCACUUAUAAAUGACUCAACCUCCACUUUUCUAUUCAAUGUGAAACAUAUAACUCACACUUUCACACAACAAUCUCACAUACACAAUCAUGACAUUUUUAAAACCCAUGGAGUGUUUUGAUAAGAUGAGUUGGAUUUCUUCAAACUUGACACAAGGUCUUGGGUUCGAAUACAACUUUGGAAAUUCAUCAACAUUAAAACUCUUAAGGUAGGAGUUUUGUCGCUCGUUGUAGUCCUAACUAACUCGAGUGCAAUUUUAUCGUCCAUUGUGAACUUAUCUGAUUUGUUUUUUUCGGUGAUCAGUAUUUUGGUUGAAGCUAGAUUGGGAAUGUGUUUACCUUUUUGAUCGUUGAUUCUAUUAGCAUAUUAUGGUCUUGUGAUUAGCUCUCUCUCGUUUUCUGCAAAUCAGGUUCGGUUGUAGCAUUUUUCAAUUGAUCUCACGGAUUAGCUUAUUUUUUUUCUCUCCAUGUGAUUAAUAGUUGUUGAAUUCUCUUGUUAUUAGCUAGUUGGAUUUGUUUGCUGCAAGCGACGAUGCCAACAUUGUGCGGUUGGUCAACUCUUAUUGAUUUGGUCACACUACUCUUUUACUUCUUCUAAUUACUAGGUGGAUUAAUGAAUCAGUUGAAGAUCAAUAGAGUUUUGAAAUCAAAUUUGCAUGGUUUUGCCAAAUAUGUCUAAUUAAUUAAUUUGAAGCUACAUGAAUAGUAAGGAAUGAUUUUCCAGGCCGUAAGUUGGUGUUGACAAGUUAUUCAGUGCGGGAUGGUUAAUUGGAUAUCUUUGUAUAUUUUAUGACAUAUUUCCGGUAGCUCCUCUUUUGUUGGUUGACUCCUCUCUAUUUAGUUGUUGCUUCUCAUUUGGUUGUUCGUCUCUCUUUUUUUGUUUGAGUGUAUUUUCUUGUUUGUUGGUUGUUUGAGUUUAGUUCGUUGUUUGGAUUUUGGUGUGUUUUUAUGGCUUUUGUGGUGUUUGGGUUCGGCCUUCCCGAUCUCCUUAUUUUUCUUUGAUUUGAUUUGUUUUAGUUUGCAGUUUCGUUUGGUUUAGUUUGGUUAAUUUUGUUUCGUCAAUUUGUCUUUGCAUGGUUCGUGUGGUUCAGUUCGGUUUGAUUUGGAUUCGCUUGGUUGAAUUUGUUUGGUUGUUAGGUGAGUUAAGAUAGUCCUCACAAUUCGUUUGUUUGUUUGGUGAGUCGAGUGCUCACACUUCGGUUGUUUGGUGAGUCGAGUGCUCACAAUUUGGUUGUUUGGUGAGUUAAAUACUCACAAUUUGAUUUCUUAUCCCCCUUUUGAUUCUUUCUAAUUGAUUGCAUUGCACUUCUGAUCCCCUUUUGAUUCUUCUGAUUGAUUGCACUUCUCCCCAUAUUGAUUCUUCUCAUUGUUUGCAUUGCACUUCUCUUCCUUUUUGGUUAUUCUGAUUGAUUGCACUUCUCCUUGUUUUGGUUCUUCUCAUUGAUUGCAUUUCUCCCCCUUUUGAUUCUUUUGAUUGCACUUCUCCCACUUUUGAUGAUUCUUUCGUUCUCUCUCUCUCUCUCUCUCUCUCUAUAUAUAUAUAUAUAUAUAUAUAUAUAUAUAUAUAUAUAUAUAUUGGUUCUUCUGUAUGGUUGCUUCUUCCUACCGAUUCUUGUUUGGUUUAGUUCGAAAUGACUCUUCUACUUGGAUGGUUCUUGCUGCUCUUCAUUGGUUAUGCUACGAGCUAAUUUGGUUUAUUUUCGGGGUUAAUUUGUAACAAGCUUAAUAAUUAAGCAUCAGCUUGAUGGGUUGUGUUAGAACUUUAUAUUAUUUAGUAUGUUUUUCAUAUUUUGUAUGACAAACUCACAAUACUUCUUGUUGAUGCAUCAUGAGUUUGAGGGUAGAUGUUAGAUGAUAAAGUAUUGGACUUAAACCAAUAUUAGUAAAUUAGAGUCCAUUAGGUUUAUUAUAUAUUCUCUUGCAAACCUUUUGUAAUAUUAAUCUAUUUUGUAUUCCAUAAAACCCUAACCGUCGUCUUUGUUAGUCUCUUUAUUAUUCUCUAUUAAAACCUUAUAAUGCUAACAAAACUAAAAAAAAAUUUAGAAAAUGAAAACAAAAUAAUAAUUUUACAAAGUAAACGUCCCUAAUUAAGUUUAUGAAUACAUAAAGUGUUGUGAACAAUUCAUCUCAAAUAACUUGAAUAUAAUCAUAGUUAUUAAUUGAGUGGCAUAGAUGUGUUUAUUCCACCCUUCAUGGUAAUUUUUUUUAAUUGUCUUAUCUUUCUUUAUUAGGUUAAAUAUGUUUUUGGUUUUUAUAAAUAUACCAACAUUUUGUUUUAGUUUUUCUAAAAUUUUACUUCAACUUUUUGUCCAUAUAAAAUUUUCAAUCACUACAUUUGGUUUAUAUUUUUAAUUUAAUUUUUGUAUUAUUUUAAUGAAAUUGUGCAAUAUGUAGAAUAUUGUAAAAAUAUCUUCCAAAAAAAAAAUUAGAAUUUUAUAACAAAACAUAAAUUAAAUUUAACCACAAAAAUAUAAAAAUUCAUAUUUAAUUCAUGUUUUUUUUAAAAAUUCUAAUUUAUUUUAGGAGAGAUUCUUAUAAUAUUAUAAAUUUUAUUCAAAAAUAUAAAUUCUACAUAUGAGUUUACUCUAAAGGAGGGACCAAAAGUGAAGAUGGAAAACUUUUAGAGGACUAAACGUUAAAAAAAAAAUUAGAGAGACUAAAAUCGUUAUUUCUUUUUUACUCUAUGAAAAAAUACACUAUUUUUUCCUCUAUAAAAAAAUCAUUUUAUGUCUUUGUAUGUUAUAAUACUGAGUGAAUAUGCUGUAAAUUGAGAACUUGUUGCAAGCUUUGUACAUUAAAAUUUCGAAAGCUUUUUGGUCGUAGUUUUAUAUUUUAAGCUUAUUUCAUUAUUUGUCAUUCAUUAUUCAUUAUUCUACUUUAGUACUCGAAUCCGAAACCCAUAAAAUAACCCACAAAUCCAAAAAAUAAAUAAAAAUAAGAAGUUGAACUAGCAGCAUAUUUGUCACAUUGAUGAUACAUCAUUCUUGUUCAUUAUGAGGCAACUCGUUCAAGUCGAUCCUAAACCUUUGCCUUCAUCAGACUCAAGUCGAUCCUAAAAGACAUGACAAUAAAUAGUUAUGAGAUAAGAAAUUAGGUUUUAGUUUUACCCUCAUGUUGAUCAGGUUUAGGUGGGAUGGGUGUUAAUGUGGAAGGAAGUGGAGAAAAACCAGGAGGUGCUGGAGAACCAUUAGGAUGACAACAAAUAUAGUGUUCUCGAUAAUGAUUCAUCAAAGCAGCCCAAGUGGGAAACACAUGUUUGCAUCUAUGACAAUGCUUCACUUCACGAAUAUUACUCUUCUUAGAUUGACCAUCACUUCCUGCUUCUCCAUCAGCUGCCAGCUGAAGGGUAGUUGGGUUGGUUUCUUUGGGGGAUUCAUCAUCAGAGGGAGGGUCUUGAGGGGACUUGUUAGUGGUGGGGGCUGAAUUCUUGGAAGGGUUAGGGUUCUGCAUGUUGAAAAUGAAUACAAAUAUGAAGAAAAAGACAAUGGAAGAUUAUGUUUGGUUUUGUGUUAUGUGUUUGUUUUAGUGCUCUAUUUAUGAUGGUUGAUGAUGUUAUACUAUGAUUAAUGUAAUACUAUUUUGUCUUUGAUUUUUAGGUAAAAAAAGAUGGCGGGAUCGGUAUAAUGUAUUUUAGUAAAGUUUUUUUUUUUUAGAAUAAAUGUAUUUUAGUAAAGUUUUUUAUUUAUUUUAUUAUUUUGUCUGAAUAUUUUUUAAAAGUGAAAAUGAUAUUCAAUGUACAUAUCGUUUAGCAUUAUAUUUGUUAGGACAAAUCGUAAAUACCGUGGGAUUUAUUACCAACUGGAUAAAUAUUCCUAGUAUUUGAUAAGUAGAUAUUUCUACAAUCUUAAAAAUCAAAUUAAUUUAUAUCACAUUGUUCAUACUAAUACAUUCUAUUUAUUUGAAGGAUCAUAAUACAUUGUAUUAUUGAUUAUCACAUCACAUUUAUCAUAAUACAUUGUAUGUAUUCGUAAAUUUAAACUGUACCCACUUAUAAUUUACUAAAACACCCUUUUGUUUAUAUUCUAAUUAAUUUUAAAUAGAAGGACAAUUUUGUAACUAGCUUGAAAAAGAUCCUUAAAAAAAGAAACAAAAAAGACAAUGCCAUGCUUAAGGUACAAAACAUGUAAUAAAGACAAACUUUUAAGGAAACAAUAUUUGGAAAGAUGAACUUUUUUUAUAAUAAAAUUGUUGUUGGUGUCAUUAAAAAAAUUAGAUUAUAUUUUUUUGAUAUAUUGUUGACGUCAUUGAAAUAGAUAAUCAUGGUUAGUUUGAUUUUUUAUAACCCAAAACAAACAAACAUUAAUAUUUUUUUAGUUUUAAUCAAAAUCAAAAAUUUCAUAAAAGAAACAUCGUUCAUAAUUUUCAAACGUUAGCGCAAUAAAAAGAGAUGAAGACGGGCACACACGUGCCCGUCCUUUCGCUAGUAAAAAUAAUUAAAACAUGUGUCUUUAAACAUUUUGGUAAUUUUUAAAAAUAUGGGAUGAUGCGUUUAAAAAUAUUUAUAUUUAUAUCUUUUAAAAUUUUAUUUUGUUUUAGUAUGAACUGGGAUCCUUUGCACGUAACUGCAACGAUUAAUCUCUCGAGCUGAUAAGAUCAUAAUGGAUGACAAAACUCUACCUCAAGAAAUUUAUAUUGAAUUUCAACCCACUUGGGUUGGUAUGAUGGUGUUGAAUUGAGAGUUGUGAUCUUGGAUUGUGCUUCUCUCUCAAUGUCUCAAAUUUGAUUUUUUUCAGUGCCAAUUUUGAUGGGUUAGUUUAUCUUCUUAAUAAAAAAAAAAAAACAAUGUUGCAUUUUCAAGGUUUGAUCUUGUUCUAUUUGUUAACAAGGAGAAAGUAAACCCUUCAAAUAAACAAUUGUCUUGUAUUUCCAUAAAGGGAAACGAUAACAGGUGCUUUUAGUGUACAUGUUAAAAAAUCUAACGAAUAAACUUUGUCUUGGAAAUUAUGCAUUCAAUGCAUUGAAACUUUAAAAAGUAUUUUUUUUACAUAAAAUUUAUCAAUUAUUUGGACUCCCUCCGUCUCACAAUUAUUAUCUUUUAACAUUUUUUUCAUUUUUUCAAAAUAAUUGUCACUUUACAAUACUAAUGCAUCAUUUAUUAUUAUUAUUUUCCACUAUUAUACUCUUAUUUAAUGAAUUUCAUUCAACUUAACUACUCCACUAACUACUAUGACCUACUAUUAAUAAGGAUGUUUUAGUAAAUGAUACUAAUUUUACCAUUGAAAUCAACACAAUUAAUCAUUAUCUUAAUAAUCGUGCACAAACCUUAAACGACUAAUAUUGUGAGACGGAGGAAAUAUUUUUUAAUCUUUAACAACCUAAGAACACUUGUUAGCAAAACCCUUCCAUAAAAAUAAUGAAAGUUGUUAAAGAGUUAUUUUCAUUGUUUCUCAAAAUCCAUCAUUCCUAACUAACAUUUUAUUCAUUCUCUUCACAACGACUCAUUUUGAAAGCCCAUUUUCUCCUUAUUAACAAGUGUGUCCGAUAUAGACCUUUAAAAAAUGUUUCAAAAUAUAUCUUUAUCAUUUUAAAUAAAAAUAAAUUUUGUAAUAAUAAGAAAUUGGUGAACAAAAAUACUAUUUUAUUUAAAUUUACUAAAAAUAGUACAAAUGUACAAUCUGGACCAGAUUCAUAUUUAAACUACCCUCUAAAAGUAACACAAAUUUUAUAAAAUGAAAAUAGAAAUUAUUUUUCAAAAAGUUAAGAAACUUUAAUUUUG